GGGUAGUGUGUUGUUAGAAUAGGAGUCAGGUACAAUAGGCGACGGUGUUGGAGUAUUAGGCAUAGUAGGCGUAGUAGAUGUAGAAGGUGUAGAGAUUGGUAGUGCAGGGUCUGAGGCAGUAGGAACGGUUACUGGUGUUGAGGAUGCUGGAGCGUCUACUGGAAGAAACCACUCGUCAGUUGUGAACUCCAGUUGUGAUACUUGAGGAUGGUCCUGGCUAGUAAUGCCCGAAAACUCUUCUUCGAGGAAGACCACAUCUCGGCUAAUAAAGAAUUUGUUUGUCUCCACGUCAUAUAGGUACCAUCCUUUCUUUCCGUGGGGGUAUCCAACAAAGAGGCAACGACGGCUACAAUCACCAAAUUUGUCUUUAUCGCGGUGUCUGCGAU
This 386-nucleotide long non-coding RNA is filed under the name Brassica napus (rape). RNAcentral describes it as "long non-coding RNA (BNAP_LNC020454)". The record is from RNAcentral. Lineage: Eukaryota; Viridiplantae; Streptophyta; Magnoliopsida; Brassicales; Brassicaceae.